UACGUAUGUCGCAAGCGUUAUCCGGAUUUAUUGGGCGUAAAGCGCGUCUAGGCGGUUUGGUAAGUCUGAUGUGAAAAUGCGGGGCUCAACUCCGUAUUGCGUUGGAAACUGCCAAACUAGAGUACUGGAGAGGUGGGCGGAACUACAAGUGUAGAGGUGAAAUUCGUAGAUAUUUGUAGGAAUGCCGAUGGGGAAGCCAGCCCACUGGACAGAUACUGACGCUGAAGCGCGAAAGCGUGGGUAGCAAACAGG
RNAcentral lists this ribosomal RNA (252 nucleotides) under Fusobacterium mortiferum. RNAcentral describes it as "partial 16S ribosomal RNA". It matches the Rfam family "Bacterial small subunit ribosomal RNA", at positions 524 to 776 of the family's 1533-position model. The record is from RNAcentral. Lineage: Bacteria; Fusobacteriati; Fusobacteriota; Fusobacteriia; Fusobacteriales; Fusobacteriaceae.